UUGGUUUAAAUUAAUGUGAGUCUACAAUUUAAAAAUGGAACCCACAUAAAGUGGUAGGAUAUACAAUGAUUUUAUCUAA
RNAcentral lists this microRNA precursor (79 nucleotides) under Medicago truncatula (barrel medic). RNAcentral describes it as "MIR5269 microRNA precursor family". It matches the Rfam family "MIR5269 microRNA precursor family". Lineage: Eukaryota; Viridiplantae; Streptophyta; Magnoliopsida; Fabales; Fabaceae. The record is from Rfam by way of RNAcentral.